Molecule: ribosomal RNA, 142 nt
Filed under: Entamoeba histolytica
Lineage: Eukaryota; Evosea; Mastigamoebida; Endamoebidae
Description: partial 17S ribosomal RNA
Source: RNAcentral
GCUCAUUAUAACAGUAAUAGUUUCUUUGGUUAGUAAAAUACAAGCAUAGCUUUGUGAAUGAUAAAGAUAAUACUUGAGACGAUCCAGUUUGUAUUAGUACAAAAUGGCCAAUUCAUUCAAUGAAUUGAGAAAUGACAUUCUA